This 263-nucleotide unclassified non-coding RNA is filed under the name plant metagenome. Its description in RNAcentral is "partial contains small subunit ribosomal RNA, internal transcribed spacer 1, and 5.8S ribosomal RNA". The record is from RNAcentral.
UCUCCGUAGGUGAACCUGCGGAAGGAUCAUUAUUGUAUAACCGAGGUGCGAGGGCUGUCGCUGACCCGAAAGGUCCUGCACGCCCGAGUGCCCUCACACACAUCCAUCUCACCCCUAUGUGCACCACCGCGUGGGUCCCCCUUUGGCUUGUUCGGAGGGGGGCUUACGUUUUCACACAAACUUUGUAUGCAGUGUAGAAUGUAUUUUUUGUUUUUGCGAUCACGCAAUCAAUACAACUUUCAACAACGGAUCUCUUGGCUCUC